Molecule: ribosomal RNA, 409 nt
Filed under: Actinomycetes bacterium
Lineage: Bacteria; Bacillati; Actinomycetota; Actinomycetes
Description: Actinobacteria bacterium partial 16S ribosomal RNA
Rfam family: Bacterial small subunit ribosomal RNA
Source: RNAcentral
UGGGGAAUAUUGCACAAUGGGCGAAAGCCUGAUGCAGCGACGCCGCGUGGGGGAUGACGGCCUUCGGGUUGUAAACCUCUUUCAGCAAGGAAGAAGCGAAAGUGACGGUACUUGCAGAAGAAGCGCCGGCUAACUACGUGCCAGCAGCCGCGGUAAUACGUAGGGCGCAAGCGUUGUCCGGAAUUAUUGGGCGUAAAGGGCUUGUAGGUGGCUUGUCGCGUCUGCCGUGAAAACUCGAGGCUUAACCUUGGGCGUGCGGUGGGUACGGGCAGGCUAGAGGGCGGUAGGGGAGGCUGGAAUUCCUGGUGUAGCGGUGAAAUGCGCAGAUAUCAGGAGGAACAACGAUGGCGAAGGCAGGUCUCUGGGCCGUUACUGACACUGGGAAGCGAAAGCAUGGGGAGCGAACAGG